GACUUUCCGUUGUCACAGCCUGGGGACGGGCCUGCCCCUGGCAGCUCGCCUGCAGGGGCCAGAGAUGUUGCUCGACCUCAGACGUGCACGGGGCAGCCCUGUAACAACACAUCGCCCCGCAAACCAUGUCAAGACGGAGAACCGUGGCCGACGUUCCCUGUUUAAGAGAUAAACAAUAGGAAGAAGUCCAGUCAAGGAAAUGAUUUCAAGGCAAGCAAGAGAGACUAAUGGAUAUCAACCUUUAAGACUGGAGAAGACUCAGCCCAAGUUGUGGGGAUAGAAGAUGAUUUUAAAGAGCAAAUAAACUUAAGGUGGAUCUUGAAGAAUUAUUGGGAGAUAAUUAGGCACAUAAAAGGGGAAAUGGAUAAAGGAACCUGAAAUAAGACAAAAUAUCAUGACAGAAUUUGGAAGGUACAGCUAAAGACCAAGAGGGUGGAUGAGGUUGUCCACGGAGACUGAAAGCAAAGACAAUGGUAACAUGCAGAGCCUUGGGGAACAGAUGCUUGAAGUCGUGCUCAAGCCUCUUGUGUCCACUGCCUAUUGUUCACGAUAUUGUUCAAGUUUGUAAUGCCUUUACCUUGAUAGAUGUCAACAGCAAGUAUAAUAUAGUUUGUAGAAUAU
Long non-coding RNA from Canis lupus familiaris (dog), 621 nucleotides. RefSeq lists it as uncharacterized. Lineage: Eukaryota; Metazoa; Chordata; Mammalia; Carnivora; Canidae. The record is from RefSeq and is a predicted model, not a curated record. The transcript has 4 exons.